This 324-nucleotide ribosomal RNA is filed under the name uncultured bacterium. Its description in RNAcentral is "bacterial SSU rRNA". It matches the Rfam family "Bacterial small subunit ribosomal RNA", at positions 28 to 334 of the family's 1533-position model. The record is from RNAcentral.
GACGAACGCUGGCGGCGCGCCUAACACAUGCAAGUCGAGCGAAGCGAUUUAACGGAAGUUUUCGGAUGGAAGUUAAAUUGACUGAGCGGCGGACGGGUGAGUAACGCGUGGGUAACCUGCCUCAUACGGGGGGAUAACAGUUAGAAAUGACUGCUAAUACCGCAUAAGCGCACAGCAUCGCAUGAUGCAGUGUGAAAAACUCCGGUGGUAUGAGAUGGACCCGCGUCUGAUUAGCUAGUUGGUGAGAUAACAGCCCACCAAGGCGACGAUCAGUAGCCGACCUGAGAGGGUGAUCGGCCACAUUGGGACUGAGACACGGCCCAA